This 164-nucleotide non-coding RNA is filed under the name Patagioenas fasciata monilis. RNAcentral describes it as "Eukaryotic small subunit ribosomal RNA". It matches the Rfam family "Eukaryotic small subunit ribosomal RNA", at positions 1273 to 1473 of the family's 1831-position model. Lineage: Eukaryota; Metazoa; Chordata; Aves; Columbiformes; Columbidae. The record is from Rfam by way of RNAcentral.
GGUGGUGGCACGUGGCCAUUCUUAGUUGGUGGAGUGAUUUCUCUGGUUAAUUCCAGUAACAAAUGAGACUCUGGCAUGUGAACUAGUUACGUGACCCCAACUUCUUAGAGGGCAAGCAGUGUUCAGCUACCUGAGACUGAGCAAUAACAGGUCUGUGAUGCCCC